AUUGAACGCUGGCGGCAUGCUUUACACAUGCAAGUCGAACGGUAACAGGUUAAGCUGACGAGUGGCGAACGGGUGAGUAAUGCAUCGGAACGUGCCCGGUCGUGGGGGAUAACGCAGCGAAAGCUGCGCUAAUACCGCAUACGAUCUGAGGAUGAAAGCGGGGGACCGUAAGGCCUCGCGCGAUCGGAGCGGCCGAUGUCAGAUUAGGUAGUUGGUGGGGUAAAGGCUCACCAAGCCAACGAUCUGUAGCUGGUCUGAGAGGACGACCAGCCACACUGGAAGUGAGACACGGCCCAGACGCCUACGGGAGGCAGCAGUGGGGAAUUUUGGACAAUGGGCGAAAGCCUGAUCCAGCAAUGCCGCGUGCAGGAAGAAGGCCUUCGGGUUGUAAACUGCUUUUGUACGGAGCGAAAAGGUCUCCUCUAAUACAGGGGGCUCAUGACGGUACCGUAAGAAUAAGCACCGGCUAACUACGUGCCAGCAGCCGCGGUAA
Molecule: ribosomal RNA, 493 nt
Filed under: uncultured bacterium
Lineage: Bacteria
Description: partial 16S ribosomal RNA
Rfam family: Bacterial small subunit ribosomal RNA
Source: RNAcentral